This 31-nucleotide non-coding RNA is filed under the name Homo sapiens (human). Lineage: Eukaryota; Metazoa; Chordata; Mammalia; Primates; Hominidae. The record is from RNAcentral.
UGGGUGGAAUUUGAACCCUGAUUGUCUGAUU